RNAcentral lists this transfer RNA (75 nucleotides) under Alkalinema sp. RU_4_3. Its description in RNAcentral is "tRNA-Ile". It matches the Rfam family "tRNA". Rfam says of the family: Transfer RNA (tRNA) molecules are approximately 80 nucleotides in length. Their secondary structure includes four short double-helical elements and three loops (D, anti-codon, and T loops). Further hydrogen bonds mediate the characteristic L-shaped molecular structure. tRNAs have two regions of fundamental functional importance: the anti-codon, which is responsible for specific mRNA codon recognition, and the 3' end, to which the tRNAs corresponding amino acid is attached (by aminoacyl-tRNA synthetases). tRNAs cope with the degeneracy of the genetic code in two manners: having more than one tRNA (with a specific anti-codon) for a particular amino acid; and 'wobble' base-pairing, i.e. permitting non-standard base-pairing at the 3rd anti-codon position. The record is from RNAcentral. Lineage: Bacteria; Bacillati; Cyanobacteriota; Cyanophyceae; Leptolyngbyales; Leptolyngbyaceae.
UGGGGUAUGGCUUAGUGGUAAAGCUCUCGGCUGAUAACCGAGCGAUCGCGGGUUCAAUUCCCGCUACCCCAACCA